CUUUACUACAGCUUUGCAGUGGUAUUAGGGAUUACUUGUGUAGGAUAGGUGGGAGGCUUUGAAGCUUGGGCGCUAGCUCAGGUGGAGCCAGCCUUGAAAUACCACCCUGGUGAUCUCUGAUAUCUAACCUGCUUCCCUGAUCGGGAAGAGGGACCCUGCAUGGUGGGUAGUUUGACUGGGGCGGUCGCCUCCCAAACAGUAACGGAGGCGCGCGAUGGUUGGCUCAAGCUGGUCGGAAAUCAGCUGUUGAGUGCAAAGGCAUAAGCCAGCCUGACUGCAAGACUAACAAGUCGAGCAGAGACGAAAGUCGGUCUUAGUGAUCCGGUGGUCCCGUGUGGAAGGGCCAUCGCUCAACGGAUAAAAGGUA
Molecule: ribosomal RNA, 367 nt
Filed under: uncultured organism
Description: bacterial LSU rRNA
Rfam family: Bacterial large subunit ribosomal RNA
Source: RNAcentral